Molecule: small nucleolar RNA, 72 nt
Organism: Oryctolagus cuniculus (rabbit)
Lineage: Eukaryota; Metazoa; Chordata; Mammalia; Lagomorpha; Leporidae
Source: Ensembl
UUUUAAAUGAUGAUUGAAACUGACAGAAAUCCCUUUACUCCUUCACAAAUGAAACACUGCAGUCUGACAAAA